RNAcentral lists this ribosomal RNA (253 nucleotides) under uncultured bacterium. Its description in RNAcentral is "partial 16S ribosomal RNA". It matches the Rfam family "Bacterial small subunit ribosomal RNA", at positions 524 to 776 of the family's 1533-position model. The record is from RNAcentral.
UACGUAGGGUGCAAGCGUUGUCCGGAAUUAUUGGGCGUAAAGGGCUCGUAGGCGGUCCAUCGCGUCGGGAGUGAAAAGCUGGGGCUUAACCCCAGUCCUGCUUCCGAUACGGGUGGACUAGAGGUAGGCAGGGGAGAACGGAAUUCCUGGUGUAGCGGUGAAAUGCGCAGAUAUCAGGAAGAAUAUCCGUGGCGAAGGCGGCUCUCUGGUACGGCACUGACGCUGAGACGCGAAAGCGUGGGGAGCGAACAGG